GCGGCCGGUGGCGAUUAAGUGCGGUUCUGGAUGUUCGUUGCUGGUGGUGCUUGUGGUGGCCGCCAACUUCAUGACGAAAUGGUAGCUAAAUCAACACCGGAUGUUCACAGGUUGCAACCGAUGGCAAAAACGACGGGUUUUUUUGCAACAGUCCGGAAACGAACAGUUGGAAUUUGAACCCGCUGCUACUGGAACAACCCCGGUGCGAUCGUGAAUAAGGAUAGGUCAUUUGCCGGAAUGUUUGUUUCCAGGAAUGGAACUUAUCAACAAAAAAGUGUUUCAAAUGAUGUUAAAAAAAAUUAAAAUAAAAUCAAAAUGAAGUUA
Long non-coding RNA from Uranotaenia lowii, 324 nucleotides. RefSeq lists it as uncharacterized. The record is from RefSeq and is a predicted model, not a curated record. The transcript is spliced from 2 exons. Lineage: Eukaryota; Metazoa; Arthropoda; Insecta; Diptera; Culicidae.